AUGCAUGUCUAAGCAUAAGCCGAAUAUGGUAAAGCCGCGAAUGGCUCAUUACAACAGCCAUAGUUUAUUGGAUCUUAGAGUCCUACUUGGAUACCUGUGGUAAUUCUAGAGCUAAUACACGCAAUCGAGCCCCAACCUGACGGGCGGGGCGCAUUUAUUAGAACAAAACCAAUUGGCUUCGGCCAUUUAUUGGUGGAUCUGAAUAACUACGCUGAUCGCACGGUCUCGCACCGGCGACGUAUCCUUCAAGUGUCUGCCUUAUCAACUUUCGAUGGUAGUUUACAUGACUACCAUGGUUGUAACGGGUAACGGAGAAUAAGGGUUCGACUCCGGAGAGGGAGCCUGAGAAACGGCUACCACAUCCAAGGAAGGCAGCAGGCGCGCAAAUUACCCACUCUCAGAACGAGGAGGUAGUGACGAAAAAUAACGAGACAGUUCUCUAUGAGGUCUGUCAUCGGAAUGGGUACAAUCUAAACCCUUUAACGAGGAUCUAUUGGAGGGCAAGUCUGGUGCCAGCAGCCGCGGUAAUUCCAGCUCCAAUAGCGUAUAUUAAAGUUGUUGCGGUUAAAAAGCUCGUAGUUGGAUCUGCGGUCACAGACGCCGGUCUCCUUCACGGAGUACUGGUUGUCUUGACCUACCUUACUGGUUUUCCCUUGGUGCUCUUUACUGAGUGCCCUGGGUGGCUAGUACGUUUACUUUGAAAAAAUUAGAGUGCUUAACGCAGGCUUUUGCCUGAAUAGUGGUGCAUGGAAUAAUGGAAUAGGACCUCGGUUCUAUUUUGUUGGUUUUCGGAGCACGAGGUAAUGAUUAAGAGGGACAGACGGGGGCAUUCGUACUGCUGCGUUAGAGGUGAAAUUCUUGGAUCGCAGCAUGACGAACAACUGCGAAAGCAUUGCCAAAAAAAGGGA
Molecule: ribosomal RNA, 908 nt
Filed under: Dichromadora sp. Nem.39
Lineage: Eukaryota; Metazoa; Nematoda; Chromadorea; Chromadorida; Chromadoridae
Description: SSU rRNA
Rfam family: Eukaryotic small subunit ribosomal RNA
Source: RNAcentral